Molecule: ribosomal RNA, 989 nt
Filed under: Salmonella enterica subsp. enterica serovar Typhi
Lineage: Bacteria; Pseudomonadati; Pseudomonadota; Gammaproteobacteria; Enterobacterales; Enterobacteriaceae
Description: partial 23S ribosomal RNA
Rfam family: Bacterial large subunit ribosomal RNA
Source: RNAcentral
GGGUUGUGAGGUUAAGCGACUAAGCGUACACGGUGGAUGCCCUGGCAGUCAGAGGCGAUGAAGGGCGUGCUAAUCUGCGAUAAGCGCCGGUAAGGUGAUAUGAACCGUUAUAACCGGCGAUACCCGAAUGGGGAAACCCAGUGUGAUUCGUCACACUAUCAUUAACUGAAUCCAUAGGUUAAUGAGGCGAACCGGGGGAACUGAAACAUCUAAGUACCCCGAGGAAAAGAAAUCAACCGAGAUUCCCCCAGUAGCGGCGAGCGAACGGGGAGGAGCCCAGAGCCUGAAUCAGCAUGUGUGUUAGUGGAAGCGUCUGGAAAGGCGCGCGAUACAGGGUGACAGCCCCGUACACAAAAGCGCAUAUGCUGUGAGCUCGAUGAGUAGGGCGGGACACGUGGUAUCCUGUCUGAAUAUGGGGGGACCAUCCUCCAAGGCUAAAUACUCCUGACUGACCGAUAGUGAACCAGUACCGUGAGGGAAAGGCGAAAAGAACCCCGGCGAGGGGAGUGAAAAAGAACCUGAAACCGUGUACGUACAAGCAGUGGGAGCCCCACCACUAAGCCAGUGGUGAACUCCACAUACGCAUCCUUUGCUGAGGAGACGGUUAACGGAGCGAAAGCGACGUUCAACCUCAAAAGAAGCAGAGGGGGCUUAGUGGUGGGGUGACUGCGUACCUUUUGUAUAAUGGGUCAGCGACUUAUAUUCUGUAGCAAGGUUAACUGUAUAGGGGAGCCGGAGGGAAACCGAGUCUUAACCGGGCGUUAAGUUGCAGGGUAUAGACCCGAAACCCGGUGAUCUAGCCAUGGGCAGGUUGAAGGUUGGGUAACACUAACUGGAGGACCGAACCGACUAAUGUUGAAAAAUUAGCGGAUGACCUGUGGCUGGGGGUGAAAGGCCAAUCAAACCGGGAGAUAGCUGGUUCUCCCCGAAAGCUAUUUAGGUAGCGCCUCGUGAAUUCAUCUCCGGGGGUAGAGCACUGUUUCGGCUAG